AGCAGCAGCCGCGGUAAUACAGAGGGUGCGAGCGUUAAUCGGAUUUACUGGGCGUAAAGCGUGCGUAGACGGCUUUUUAAGUCGGAUGUGAAAUCCCUGAGCUUAACUUAGGAAUUGCAUUCGAUACUGGGAAGCUAGAGUAUGGGAGAGGAUGGUAGAAUUCCAGGUGUAGCGGUGAAAUGCGUAGAGAUCUGGAGGAAUACCGAUGGCGAAGGCAGCCAUCUGGCCUAAUACUGACGCUGAGGUACGAAAGCAUGGGGAGCAAACAGGAUUAGAUACCCCCGUAGUCCCUGUCUCUUAUAC
Molecule: ribosomal RNA, 303 nt
Filed under: uncultured bacterium
Lineage: Bacteria
Description: partial 16S ribosomal RNA
Rfam family: Bacterial small subunit ribosomal RNA
Source: RNAcentral